This 429-nucleotide ribosomal RNA is filed under the name Gemmatimonadota bacterium. Its description in RNAcentral is "Gemmatimonadetes bacterium partial 16S ribosomal RNA". It matches the Rfam family "Bacterial small subunit ribosomal RNA", at positions 355 to 776 of the family's 1533-position model. Lineage: Bacteria; Pseudomonadati; Gemmatimonadota. The record is from RNAcentral.
UAGGGAAUCUUUGGCAAUGGACGAAAGUCUGACCGAGCAACGCCGCGCGAGUGAAGAAGGUUUUCGGAUCGUAAAACUCUGUUGUUAGAGAAGAACAAGGACGUUAGUAACUGAACGUCCCCUGACGGUAUCUAACCAGAAAGCCACGGCUAACUACGUGCCAGCAGCCGCGGUAAUAGGUAGGUGGCAAGCGUUGUCCGGAUUUAUCGGGCGGAAAGCGAGCGCAGGCGGUUUCUUAAGUCUGAUGUGAAAGCCCCCGGCCCAACCGUGGAGGGUCAUUGGAAACUGGGAGACUUGAGUGCAGAAGAGGAGAGUGGUAUUCCAUGUGUAGCAGUGACAUGCGUAGAUAUAUGGAGGAACACCAGUUGCGAAGGCUGCUCUCUGGUCUGUAGCUGACGCUGAGGCUCGAGAGCGUGGGGAGCAAACAGG